CCUGGUGGCUCAGAUGGUAAAGAAUCUGCCUGCAAUGUAGAGGACCCAGGUUCAAUCCCUGGGUCAGGA
This 69-nucleotide transfer RNA is filed under the name Bos taurus (domestic cattle). It matches the Rfam family "tRNA". Rfam says of the family: Transfer RNA (tRNA) molecules are approximately 80 nucleotides in length. Their secondary structure includes four short double-helical elements and three loops (D, anti-codon, and T loops). Lineage: Eukaryota; Metazoa; Chordata; Mammalia; Artiodactyla; Bovidae. RNAcentral also lists the same sequence under 4 other names. The record is from Rfam by way of RNAcentral.